This 5576-nucleotide long non-coding RNA is filed under the name Sus scrofa (pig). RNAcentral's name for it is "lncRNA (ENSSSCG00040001177.1)". The record is from RNAcentral. Lineage: Eukaryota; Metazoa; Chordata; Mammalia; Artiodactyla; Suidae.
UUUUUUUUUUUUUUUUUUUUUUUUUUUUUUUUNGGGCCGCACCCCAGACAUAGAGGUUCCCAGAGAAAUGACCACUUUUGCUCAAACAAAAAUCUAUACGUAAAGGUUUAGACUGGCUUUAUUUACAACAGCCCUAACCUGGAAACAUUCACCUUUAACUAGUGAAUGGAUAUACAAACCAUGGCAUAUGCCUAUUAAAAUGAGAAAUCAUUUCAUACCUAUCAGAUAAUGCAGAAAUAAAAGAGUUUAAUAACACCAAGUGUUCGCAAGGCUUUGGAUAAACAGGAGUUUUCCCACUGUUGCCAUAAAUGUAAAUUGAUUCAAAUACUUGGGAGAACAUGGAGCAGGUUGAAGAUGUGUGUGCACUAUGAUCCAGUAAUGCCUCUUCUCAGAAUACUCAAUCCCAUUUUCACAGCACACAACCAACAUAUCAAUAGGAGAACAUAAAACUAAAUUCUGGUAUAUUUAAACAGCAGAAUAAAACAGAGCACUUAAAGCAAAUGAACUCUAGCCAUUUGUAUCAACAUGGCUUAAAAAUAUACCUGAAUGAGCAAGCACGCUGCAGAAUAUAUAAACAUGGGAUCUUUUAUUAAGAUCUUAAACCAUUCGGAGUUCCCGUCAUGGCUCAGCGGUUAACAAAUUCGACCCGGAACCAUGAGAUUCGUUAACCACUGCGCCACAAAGGGAACUCCUCAAUUAUUUUUUAAUUACAAAUAAAUUUGAUCUAUUCUUCACCUCUAGUCCCAUCCCUCUCCAAGGGAAAAGAAAUCUAAAUAUUUUCAUUUUGAAUAUGGAAAAGGCCACUAUGGGCGAUUCCAUCCCAGACAGUGCCAUGAAUGAGCUCUGUUAUCUUGGGAGAUUAUUUAAUCUGCACCUCUCCAAGACUUGUGCCACUUCUAAAAUCAUAUCUUCUGUGAAAGCACAAACACCUCUCCAUAAAACAGAGAUCAGCAGUUCGAAGUACACCAACAGGAGCAAAAAGCAGUUUUCCUAUAACUCUGAGUGGAAAACUUUUAAAAUCUGUUACGACAGGUCCAGAUAAACCAUCUGUAGUAAUUGCCUCAUGUUCUCUGUGGAAUAAAGUGGGCAGAAAUGUAUACAGAUAGUCACUAUUACUCAACUCAAUGAAGCAGGAAGUUGGGAGCUAUUAUCUGAUGACUUAUUUUCUUAAUGAACUAAGGAAGAGAGGUCAUGGUGAAGUAGAAAGAAACCAAGGAUGAAAUCUGGGAAAAGGAUAAGUAAAAUGACUGACAAAAAGGAAAAAAAAAAAAAAAGUCAAGGAUCUAGCUGAGGCCAAAACUUAUACAUAUAUAAAGGAGAAAGUCACACUGUUAUCUUAUUUCUUCCAGCAGAGAGCAACAAAAAAACACAGAAAAAUUACUUAAUUAGGACUGUGCCACUGAGUAAAGUUGGCAAGUUCAGAACAUAAGAAAAUCAAAAUGUCUGUGACAUGAAAGUCCUGCGACUCCCUGGAGUCUACAGCAGGUAAGAUGGGUCAGGAAGGCCAGAGGAAGCCACAGAACACAAAGCGCCCAAGGAACAAGGCCACUGGAGACCGAAGGAGAGCCAGGAAGGGCAGGGUAUGUGCAGACAGGUUACUCCCCAAGCUCAAGGUUCCAAGGUGCCAUCUGGGAGAUGGCAAGGCCCAGGAAAGCUGAAGUGAACUGGAAGUACAACUGCUUGGAAAAGAUAAUGUAAAGGGAGGGCAAGGUUUGGAGGCUAGACGAGCCAAACCACUUAGAGAUGAUGUUAGAAGACACAGUGGAAAGAAACACAGCAAGCCAGGAGCCAACAUACAAGGCACAUAAUGGCCAAUAAAUUGGCAGAGGAUGGCAAAAAAGUAAAGGGAGGGUGGUACCACAGAUUAGUGUGAACUUCAGAACUGACAGGCAUUGCUGAAUUGAGUCUGGAGCACACACCCUGCUAGUCUCACUAUCUGGAAUGCUAUGCCAUCUGGAGAAUUCCUAUUCAUACUUCAGAUUGCUGUUUAAAUGAAUAAUUCUUCAGCAAACCCUUUCCAGACCUCUCAAAAUGCAAAUUAAAUUGUUUACCUCUCUUCACUAUUCCCUCCAAAAACAAUGACCACAAUUCAUGCCAAGUAGCCUUCUUUAUCCAAAAGUAUCUCUUCUUGAGUUCAUGUAGCAAGGAAUCCACAUUUCCUGAAUCUAUUUGAUUCUCUAAGUGUGUGCUAGAAAAAUAUAAGAUUUCAGAGAGGGAAGGGCAUACCCAAAAAUUUAUCCAGAGCUGCCAGGUCAGGAAGGCAGCUUCUCUGGCAUACUAGCUUUAGGAAAACUUAGCCACACACAAUUAAAAGUAGUCUACUUAGGAGUUCCCAUCGUGGCUCAGUGGUUAACGAAAUCUGACCAGCAUCCAUGAGAACACAGGUUCGAUCCCUGGCCUCACUCAGUGGAUUAAGGAUCUGGCAUUGCCAUCAUCUGUGGUAUAGGUCACAGACACGGCUCAGAUCCUGCAUUGCUGUGGCUCUGGUGUAUUCUUAGCUAUAAGAAUUCCUAAUACUAAAAAGAUUCCUUUUUUAUUUUAAUGUUUCUCACUAAAUUUAUGAUGAGAAUAUAAUCAUGUGUAAGCUUUCUCAUGAAAAACGUGAGAAAUCCAAAAGAACAUAAAUAAAAUGUAUUAUUUAUAAUUCCUUCCAAUCAUAAUUACUAAACAAUUUUUUAAUGUUCCUUACUCAGGCAAGCACUUUGGAUAUACUGCUAGAGGGAGUAAUAAGCGGCUUUAACAUUUCUAGAUGGCCAUUUAAUAACAUCAAUUAAAUUCUCCAAAAAUAAACAUAGCCUUCGUCCCAACAAUUCUACUCUUAAGGAAUUUAUCAUAACAAUUAAAAUAGGAUCAACUUUUUCAUUAUGGGAAUGUUCACUAAAAUAGUGCUCAGAAUAAUCCAGAACUGGAGGGGGAAAUAUUAAUAUCUAAAAAUAGAAAACUGGUUGGUUAAAGUGUAGAUACAGUAUUAGAAUAUUGUGGGCAGAGUUCCCCUUGUGGUGCAACAGAAACUAAUCUAACUAGUACCCAUGAGAAUGUGGGUUCAAUCCCUGGCCUCGUUCAGUGGGGCGGGGAUCCGGUGUUGCUGGGAGCUGUGGUGUAGGUCAUAGACUGGGCUCGGAUCCUGCGUUCCUGUGGCUGUGGUGUAGGUUGGUGGCUACAACUCCAAUUUGACCCCUAGCCUAGGAACCUCCAUAUGCCACAGGUGCGGCCCUACAAAAACUAAAUAAAUAAAUAAAUGUUUUUCUUCUCAAACCAGGGAAUAAAUGGAUUAACAUCUAGAAAUACUGCUUAGCGAUCAAUCUACUUGUAGAAUUGGCUAAGAAACAUUUUCUGGGCAAUGGGAAACCCCCCUAUUUGACAGAAAAAAAGAAUGAGAAAGGGGAGUUUGACAGAAACAUCACUAAACUAUAUUUUAUUUAUGCAGUCCUUGAAUGGAAGAUAUCAUAGUACACACACUACAUAUUACAUACUACACACACACCCAAAUCAAAUACCCCCAAAUCAAAAAGCUUACUUCUCGACAACUCAGUAGUACAUAAAGCAAUGUGGUCUUAAGCUGUGCCACCCAAUGUCACCUGCCCCAUGUGACUGCUGAGCACUAGCAAUGUGGUCAGUCCAAUUAAGAUGUGCUCUAAGUGUAAAAUACACACCAGACUUCAAAGAGUUACCAUGAAUAAAACAGUAAAUACCUCAUUUUUAUAUGGAUUACAUGAGGUGAUGAUAUUUUUAUAUCAGGUUAUAAAAUAUGUUACUAAAAAAUAAAUUUUACCUGUUUUUAACUUUAUUCAAUGUAGCUACUAGAAAAUUUUACACAUUUGACCCCCAUUAUAACUGUAAUGGACAGCAUCAGUCAUCUAAAGAGAGUGGGUAUUAGCUGUUUUAUAGUAUACAACCAUGCUAAUUACAAUCAGAUCCCAUUCAAAGAGUGUGUUUUGACACUUUUUCGCAAAUACACAUAUACCCAGGCAUGGGUAUGUACCUUAGUCCAAAGACCAAAGCCAAUCCUACAUCAUAUCCUACAUAAUCAACUUUGCAGCCUGCAUUGUGACAGAGGGAAGCAGGUGGCAUAACCUAAUUUCUCACACUCACAGGACUGGGAGGAGGGAGAGAGACAGACGUGAAAAAAAGCCAAAGCAGAAAUCCAUGUGGUAAUGAGCACAAAGGGGAGCCGGGGGCUGCUCUUGAGAAGCUCAGAACCAGCAUAAGAAAUCUAAAUAAAACACAAGGUCCAUCCAAGGGUAAACACUAUUCAAAUCCAAAGGGGCUGAAUUGCAGGUUCUGGCUUUGCAUGGUAAACAUAAAACAAAACACACGUAUUUAAAAGGAAUUAUCAUUAGAGGGAAUGGGACAAAUGCAUUGAUGAGAUUUUUCCACACCAAACAGAAGGUCAGCAAGCAACCAAACUUAAGACAAUUUACAGGCAGCUGGUCUUAAUCCUAUACUAACACGCUGAUUUUAAAACCUGAAAAAGCCAGAGGUGUUCUAGUAUGCUUGGAAUCUCUUUCAUACAACCAUUACACAACUCUUCCAUCUUCCUUCCUUACCUUCUUAUGCAAGCUCUGUAAUCAUCAGUGUUUAUAUAGGUUUUUGAAACUACCCAAUUUCUCCGGUAAAUAUUUACUUCUCUUGUUGCUGCUGAUCAAACUAUAAACAUAGCAUUUUUAUAUAACAUGUUUAGUAAUGGGAAAGUAGGACAUUGACGUCAACAGCAUGCAGAGCCUGUAAACCGAAAACACCACAAUUACCAGACACAGUGAGGCCUCUUGGAAAUCAUCCUCCAAUAAAACAGAAAUUUCCCCUCCUUGCUCAGUUUUUGAUCCAGUUUAUAUCCAAGUCCCUUCACAUCGGUGGUAGUUCAAUCAACUUCUAAAAUGCACCUGGGAGUUCCCAUUUUGGCACAGCGGAAACAAAUCUGACUAGGAACCAUGACGUUGCAGGUUCAAUUCCUAGCCUUACUCAGUGGGUUAAGGAUCCAGCAUUGCCAUGAGCUGCGGUUCAGGUAGCAGACGUGGCUCGGAUCUGGCAUUGCUGUGGCUCUGGUGUAGGCCAGCAGCUACAGCUCCAAUUAGACCCCCUAGCCUGGGAACCUCCAUGUGCCACGGGUGCGGCCCUUAAAAGACAAAAAAAAAAAAAAAAAAAGACAUAAAAUGCACCUGAAUCAGCACCCAGUAUCCAGGCUCCAAGAACUGGACAGAGCUGGUACUCUCAGCUGUGCAGUGUACUGUCACUUGUAUGCUCUUGCUAACAAUGAUGAAACAUACUAUCAACCCUUCUCUUUGAGUAAGUAAGAGCUUAAUAUUUUAGCAUCUGUACUAAAGUCUCAAAGAAAAUAGAAUAAACCAAUUGCUAGAAGUUCCUGCUAUGGCUCAAGAGGAUCAGUAGCAUCUUUGCAGUGUUAGAACACAGGUUCGAUCCCCAGCGUGGCAGAGUGGGUUAAAGGAUCUGGCAUUGCUGCAGGUGUAGUGUAGGUCAAAACUGCAGCUCAGAUCUGAUUCCUGGCCUGAGAAUUCCAUAUACUGUGGGGCAGCCAAAAUAGUAAAGGAAAAAAAAACAAAACAAACAAACAAAAAAAA